Molecule: ribosomal RNA, 301 nt
Filed under: uncultured bacterium
Lineage: Bacteria
Description: partial 16S ribosomal RNA
Rfam family: Bacterial small subunit ribosomal RNA
Source: RNAcentral
CAGCAGCCACGGUAAUACGUAGGUGGCAAGCGUUGUCCGGAAUUAUUGGGCGCAAAGGGCUCGCAGGCGGUUUCUUAAGUCUGAUGUGAAAGCCCCCGGCUCAACCGGGGAGGGUCAUUGGAAACUGGGAAACUUGAGUGCAGAAGAGGAGAGUGGAAUUCCACGUGUAGCGGUGAAAUGCGUAGAGAUGUGGAGGAACACCAGUGGCGAAGGCGACUCUCUGGUCUGUAACUGACGCUGAGGAGCGAAAGCGUGGGGAGCGAACAGGAUUAGAUACCCCAGUAGUCCCUGUCUCUUAUAC